RNAcentral lists this ribosomal RNA (459 nucleotides) under uncultured bacterium. Its description in RNAcentral is "partial 16S ribosomal RNA". It matches the Rfam family "Bacterial small subunit ribosomal RNA", at positions 339 to 795 of the family's 1533-position model. The record is from RNAcentral.
CUACGGGUCGCUCCAGUGAGGAAUAUUGGGCAAUGGGCGCAAGCCUGACCCAGCCAUGCCGCGUGAAGGAUGAAUGCCCUACGGGUUGUAAACUUCUUUUGUACGGGACGAAACUUCCGAUCGUGAUCGGAACUGACUGUACCGUUCGAAUAAGCAUCGGCUAACUCCGUGCCAGCAGCCGCGGUAAUACGGAGGAUGCAAGCGUUAUCCGGAUUCAUUGGGUUUAAAGGGUGCGUAGGCGGAAUAGGAAGUCAGUGGUGAAAGCCUGCGGCUUAACCGUAGAAUUGCCAUUGAUACUGUUAUUCUUGAGUAUAGUUGAGGUGGGCGGAAUGUGUAAUGUAGCGGUGAAAUGCUUAGAUAUUACACAGAACACCAAUUGCGAAGGCAGCUCACUAAACUAUCACUGACGCUGAGGCACGAAAGCGUGGGGAGCAAACAGGAUUAGAUACCCCUGUAGUC